CAGUAGCCGCGGGAAUACAGAGGGUGCGAGCGUUAAUCGGAUUUACUGGGCGUAAAGCGUGCGUAGGCGGCUUCUUAAGUCGGAUGUGAAAUCCCUGAGCUUAACUUAGGAAUUGCAUUCGAUACUGGGAAGCUAGAGUAUGGGAGAGGAUGGUAGAAUUCCAGGUGUAGCGGUGAAAUGCGUAGAGAUCUGGAGGAAUACCGGUGGCGAAGGCGGCCCCCUGGACAAAGACUGACGCUCAGGUGCGAAAGCGUGGGGAGCAAACAGGAUUAGAUACCCCUGUAGUCCCUGUCUCUUAUAC
This 301-nucleotide ribosomal RNA is filed under the name uncultured bacterium. RNAcentral describes it as "partial 16S ribosomal RNA". It matches the Rfam family "Bacterial small subunit ribosomal RNA", at positions 509 to 807 of the family's 1533-position model. The record is from RNAcentral.